CAGAGGUAUCUUCAUGUUUAUAUCGUUGUCCUUUUUUAAUCCCUCCACCCAUUCGUUUUUGCGUGUAGUCCAUCUGACUUUUUACUUAAUUUCUUUUUCUCAUGUUGGUUCAAUGUAGGGUUCUACAAACCGUGCCGCUCGGUGAAAUUCUAAAAGGUCUGCUGAACACCAACCACGCACUAGGGACAAUGACAUGGAGGAACAGGAUGACCAGGGCGUCGAACAAUUCCGUGUAGUAAAACAUCAGAAACGGAAGGCGUCCACACAUGUUGUAGUUUGAGGGGCAGACGCUUCAUCUUCUGCAGCAGCUAAUGAGGUAGUUUUUAGUUGUAUUUUUUUUGUCAUUCCACUUUUUCGCUUGAUAUGUGUGUAUAUCUAGUUCCUUUUUCUCAUAGCACAUGUACUUUUAGUUUUUGUCUACAAAGUCAGACAAUAUACCUAUUUGUGUAGUUUUUUCAUAGUGUACAGCAAAAAAUUAUGUGUUUAAUAGCAUGAUUUAAUAGUACGGCAGUGUUCUACUCA
Molecule: long non-coding RNA, 522 nt
Organism: Triticum aestivum (bread wheat)
Lineage: Eukaryota; Viridiplantae; Streptophyta; Magnoliopsida; Poales; Poaceae
Exons: 2
Source: RefSeq, a predicted model, not a curated record